This is a long non-coding RNA of Arachis ipaensis, 805 nucleotides long. RefSeq lists it as uncharacterized. The record is from RefSeq and is a predicted model, not a curated record. Lineage: Eukaryota; Viridiplantae; Streptophyta; Magnoliopsida; Fabales; Fabaceae.
GAUGGAAAGAAAAUUUUUUUAGUGGGAUCCACAUAAAAAUUUUCUUUCCUUCCUAUUUUCUUUCAUAACCAAACAAAGAAAAAUAUCAUUUUCCAUUCAUUUUCUUUCCACUCAUUUUCUAUCAAACCAACCAUAGCGUAAAAAGAACUCUGAUGAACCUACCGGUUACCGGUGACGAAGUAUCUUAAGACGAACCUCGGAAAUUGCAUUCCAGCUUUUGACGGUAAAAGAAGAUCUACACUGCUGGACGGUUACGGUUUGAGUGGCAGGACUUCGUCGUCAAGCUUUCCGAUGAUGAUCGCAAAGGCUCUUCUUCUGCUGCUGCUUCUGGUUUGGCCAGAGAUACACCAAGGGAUUAACUAAGACCCAGGUAACUGCACUUCUGAAGGAAUUGUCAGCGUCUUCAAGAAAGGAGAAACUACAUCAAACAGAUUGCCAAGCAGCACAACUUUAACAAUGACAAAUACGUUCAGGAAUUUGGAAUUAAAGUAACAGAGGAUCUGCCAUUGAUUGAUGCUCGAGUCUUGCAUCCUCUAAUGAUAUAGGCAUUACUACUUGCAUUGAGAAUUGAGGUAGUUUUGUAGCUUCUCUUACUCUUUAUUAACUGAUAUAUUUUUUUUCUUACUUGUAGCAAUAUCAUGACCGUGGAAAAGAAAAAAUGGUUAACCCACCGAUAGGUGCGUGGAAUAUGAUUAAUAAGGGAAAAAAAAAAGGAAAAUGAAAUGCUGCCCAGUCCAAUAAGUAAACCCUAAUCCCCAAAGUUGAAUCAAAAUCGUCUGCUGAGAAUGAGAAUGGCUACCCAGUU